CGGCUCGUAGCUCAAUGGGCAGAGUACGCGAUUCUUAAUCGCGGGGUUGUGGGUUCGAAGCCCACCGGGCCGACGA
This 76-nucleotide transfer RNA is filed under the name Flaviaestuariibacter flavus. Its description in RNAcentral is "Flaviaesturariibacter sp. 17J68-12 tRNA-Lys". It matches the Rfam family "tRNA". From Rfam's summary of the family: Transfer RNA (tRNA) molecules are approximately 80 nucleotides in length. Their secondary structure includes four short double-helical elements and three loops (D, anti-codon, and T loops). Further hydrogen bonds mediate the characteristic L-shaped molecular structure. tRNAs have two regions of fundamental functional importance: the anti-codon, which is responsible for specific mRNA codon recognition, and the 3' end, to which the tRNAs corresponding amino acid is attached (by aminoacyl-tRNA synthetases). tRNAs cope with the degeneracy of the genetic code in two manners: having more than one tRNA (with a specific anti-codon) for a particular amino acid; and 'wobble' base-pairing, i.e. permitting non-standard base-pairing at the 3rd anti-codon position. The record is from RNAcentral. Lineage: Bacteria; Pseudomonadati; Bacteroidota; Chitinophagia; Chitinophagales; Chitinophagaceae.